RNAcentral lists this ribosomal RNA (644 nucleotides) under uncultured bacterium. RNAcentral describes it as "bacterial SSU rRNA". It matches the Rfam family "Bacterial small subunit ribosomal RNA", at positions 8 to 694 of the family's 1533-position model. The record is from RNAcentral.
AGAGUUUGAUCCUGGCUCAGGACGAACGCUGGCGGUGUGCUUCACACAUGCAAGUCGAACGAGGUAGCAAUACCUAGUGGCGGACGGGUGAGUAACGCGUGGGAAUCUGCCUUUAGAUGGGGGAUAACGAGCCGAAAGGUUCGCUAAUACCGCAUAUGCCGCAAGGUGAAAGGAGUAAUCCGUCUAAAGAUGAGCCCGCGUCCGAUUAGCUAGUUGGUGGGGUAAAGGCCUACCAAGGCGGCGAUCGGUAGCUGGUCUGAGAGGAUGAUCAGCCACAAUGGGACUGAGACACGGCCCAUACUCCUACGGGAGGCAGCAGUGGGGAAUUUUACGCAAUGGGGGAAACCCUGACGUAGCGACACCGCGUGAGCGAAGAAGCCCCUUGGGGUGUAAAGCUCUGUCAGCUGGAACGAAACAAAUGACGGUACCAGCAGAGGAAGCAUCGGCUAACUACGUGCCAGCAGCCGCGGUAAGACGUAGGAUGCGAGCGUUGUCCGGAUUUAUUGGGCGUAAAGAGUUCGUAGGUGGUUUGUUAAGUUUGAUGUUAAAGAUCGGGGCUCAACCUCGGGACAGCAUUGAAUACUGGCAGACUUGAGUAUGGUAGAGGCUAGUGGAAUUCCCAGUGUAGCGGUGAAAUGCGUAGA